This 405-nucleotide ribosomal RNA is filed under the name uncultured bacterium. Its description in RNAcentral is "partial 16S ribosomal RNA". It matches the Rfam family "Bacterial small subunit ribosomal RNA", at positions 28 to 526 of the family's 1533-position model. The record is from RNAcentral.
GUUGAACGCUGGCGGCGUGCCUAAUACAUGCAAGUCGAGCGAAGCGGGGACGGGUGAGUAACACGUGGAUAACCUCCUAUAAGACUGGGAUAACUUCGGGAAACCGGAGCUAAACCGGUUACUUAUAGAUGGAGCCUCGCUGCAUUAGCUAGUUGGUAAGGUAACGGCUUACCAAGGCAACGAUGCAUAGCAGACCUGAGAGGGUGAGCGGCCACACUGGAACUGAGACACGGUCCAGACUCCUACGGGAGGCAGCAGUGGGGAAUCUUCCGCAAUGGGCGAAAGCCUGACGGAGCAACGCCGCGUGAGUGAUGAAGGUCUUCGGGUCGUAAAGCUCUGUUAUUAGGGAGGCGGUACCUAAACAAAAAGCCACGGCUAACUACGUGCCAGCAGCCGCGGUAAUUC